AGCUUUGUCAAUUCGUAGCGAGAUUUCGUCAAACACCAACCCAUGAGGACUGAUGAGACUCGCCAGACAAGUCAGGCG
Molecule: microRNA precursor, 78 nt
Filed under: Schistosoma margrebowiei
Lineage: Eukaryota; Metazoa; Platyhelminthes; Trematoda; Strigeidida; Schistosomatidae
Description: mir-3492 microRNA precursor family
Rfam family: mir-3492 microRNA precursor family
Source: Rfam by way of RNAcentral